GACGAACGCUAGCGGCGUGCUUAACACAUGCAAGUCGAGCGGUAAGGCCCUUCGGGGUACACGAGCGGCGAACGGGUGAGUAACACGUGGGUGAUCUGCCUCGCACUCUGGGAUAAGCCUGGGAAACUGGGUCUAAUACCGGAUACGACCAGGGACUGCAUGGUCUUUGGUGGAAAGGUUUACUGGUGCGAGAUGGGCCCGCGGCCUAUCAGCUUGUUGGUGGGGUAAUGGCCUACCAAGGCGACGACGGGUAGCCGACCUGAGAGGGUGACCGGCCACACUGGGACUGAGACACGGCCCAGACUCCUACGGGAGGCAGCAGUGGGGAAUAUUGCACAAUGGGCGAAAGCCUGAUGCAGCGACGCCGCGUGAGGGAUGACGGCCUUCGGGUUGUAAACCUCUUUUGACAGGGAAGAAGCGCAAGUGACGGUACCUGUAGAAUAAGCACCGGCCAACUACGUGCCAGCAGCCGCAGUAACAC
RNAcentral lists this ribosomal RNA (481 nucleotides) under uncultured bacterium. Its description in RNAcentral is "bacterial SSU rRNA". It matches the Rfam family "Bacterial small subunit ribosomal RNA", at positions 28 to 526 of the family's 1533-position model. The record is from RNAcentral.